This 380-nucleotide ribosomal RNA is filed under the name uncultured eukaryote. Its description in RNAcentral is "partial 18S ribosomal RNA". It matches the Rfam family "Eukaryotic small subunit ribosomal RNA", at positions 592 to 976 of the family's 1831-position model. The record is from RNAcentral.
CAAUAGCGUAUAUUAAAGUUGUUGCAGUUAGAACGCUCGUAGUCGGAUUUCGGGGCGGGCCGACCGGUCUGCCGAUGGGUAUGCACUGGUCGGCGCGUCCUUCCUUCCGGAGACCGUCCCUACUCUUAACUGAGCGGGGGCGGGAGACGGGACUUUUACUUUGAAAAAAUCAGAGUGUUUCAAGCAGGCAGCUCGCUCUUGUAUGGAUUAGCAUGGGAUAAUGAAAUAGGACUUUGGUGCUAUUUUGUUGGUUUCGAACACCGAAGUAAUGAUGAGAAGGGACAGUCAGGGGCACUCGUAUUCCGCCGAGAGAGGUGAAAUUCUCAGACCAGCGGAAGACGAACCACUGCGAAAGCAUUUGCCAGGGAUGUUUUCACUGA